AGAGUUUGAUCCUGGCUCAGAACGAACGCUGGCGGCAUGCCUAACACAUGCAAGUCGAACGAACCCUUCGGGGUUAGUGGCGCACGGGUGCGUAACGCGUGGGAAUCUGCCCUUAGGUACGGAAUAACAGUGAGAAAUUACUGCUAAUACCGUAUGAUGUCUUCGGACCAAAGAUUUAUCGCCUAGGGAUGAGCCCGCGUAGGAUUAGCUAGUUGGUGAGGUAAAGGCUCACCAAGGCUACGAUCCUUAGCUGGUCUGAGAGGAUGAUCAGCCACACUGGGACUGAGACACGGCCCAGACUCCUACGGGAGGCAGCAGUGGGGAAUAUUGGACAAUGGGCGAAAGCCUGAUCCAGCAAUGCCGCGUGAGUGAAGAAGGCCUUCGGGUUGUAAAGCUCUUUUACCCGGGAAGAUAAUGACCGUACCGGGAGAAUAAGCCCCGGCUAACUCCGUGCCAGCAGCCGCGGUAAUACGGAGGGGGCUAGCGUUGUUCGGAAUCACUGGGCGUAAAGCGUGCGUAGGCGGCCAUUCAAGUCAGAGGUGAAAGCC
This 548-nucleotide ribosomal RNA is filed under the name uncultured freshwater bacterium. Its description in RNAcentral is "bacterial SSU rRNA". It matches the Rfam family "Bacterial small subunit ribosomal RNA", at positions 8 to 602 of the family's 1533-position model. The record is from RNAcentral.